UUUUUGAUAAUAAUUUAAAGUCUAGCCUGCCCCAUGAUAAUUAUUAAAUGGCCGCGGUAUACUGACCGUGCAAAGGUAGCAUAAUCAUUAGUUUUUUAAUUGAAAGCUGGUAUGAAAGGUUGGAUGAGAAAAUAACUGUCUCUAUUUAAAUUUUUUAGAAUUUUAUUUUUAAGUUAAAAAGCUUAAAUAAAAAUAAAAGACGAGAAGACCCUAUAGAGUUUUAUAUUUAUUUAUUUUUAAGGAAUUUAGAAUUUAAAUGGUAAAAGUAAAUAAGUAUUUGAUUGGGGUGAUAGAAAAAUUAAAAGAACUUUUUUUUUAUUUUUACAUUUAUUUAUGAAUAUUUGAUCCUUAAAUAAAGAUCAAAAGAACAAAUUACCUUAGGGAUAACAGCGUAAUUUUUUUUAAGAGUUCUAAUCGAAAAAAAAGAUUGCGACCUCGAUGUUGGAUUAAAAUUAAAUUUUGGUGUAGAAGCUAAAAAAUUAGGUCUGUUCGACCUUUAAAAUUUUACAUGAUCUGAGUUUAAACCGGCGUGAGCCAGGUCGGUU
Molecule: ribosomal RNA, 545 nt
Filed under: Phyrdenus sp. ARC3968
Lineage: Eukaryota; Metazoa; Arthropoda; Insecta; Coleoptera; Curculionidae
Description: partial 16S ribosomal RNA
Rfam family: Bacterial large subunit ribosomal RNA
Source: RNAcentral